AGGAGCUCACAAUCUAUUUAG
Molecule: microRNA, 21 nt
Filed under: Mus musculus (house mouse)
Lineage: Eukaryota; Metazoa; Chordata; Mammalia; Rodentia; Muridae
Description: mmu-miR-28b
Gene: mmu-miR-28b
Source: miRBase by way of RNAcentral